Molecule: long non-coding RNA, 825 nt
Filed under: Salmo salar (Atlantic salmon)
Lineage: Eukaryota; Metazoa; Chordata; Actinopteri; Salmoniformes; Salmonidae
Description: lncRNA (ENSSSAG00000104126.1)
Source: RNAcentral
ACUACAGGACACAGCCAGUCAGAUGGGUAGUUACCAGGUUGCUGAUGGUUACUACAGGACACAGCCAGUCAGAUGGGUAGUUACCAGGUUGGUGAUGGUUACUACAGGACACAGCCAGUCAGAUGGGUAGUUACCAGGUUGGUGAUGGUUGCUACAGGACACAGCCAGUCAGAUGGGUAGUUACCAGGUUGGUGAUGGUUGCUACAGGACACAGCCAGUCAGAUGGGUAGUUACCAGGUUGCUGAUGGUUACUACAGGACACAGCCAGUCAGAUGGGUAGUUACCAGGUUGCUGAUGGUUACUACAGGACACAGCCAGUCAGAUGGGUAGUUACCAGGUUGGUGAUGGUUACUACAGGACACAGCCAGUCAGAUGGGUAGUUACCAGGUUGGUGAUGGAUCCGAAAGAAAGCUGCAGUAAGUCUACCUGUCACAAAUUUAAAGCUGCAAUAUGUACAGUGGGGGAAAAAGUAUUUGAUCCCCUGCUGAUUUUGUACGUUUGCCCACUGAUAAAGAAAGGAUCAGUCUAUAAUUUUAAUGGUAGGUUUAUUUGAACAGUGAGAGACAGAAUAACAACAAAUAUAUCCAGAAAAACGCAUGUCAAAAAUGUUAUAAGUUGAUUUGCAUUUUAAUGAUGGAAAUAAGUAUUUGACCCCCUCUCAAUCAGAAAGAUUUCUGGCUCCCAGGUGUCUUUUAUACAGGUAACGAGCUGAGAUUAGGAGCACACUCUUAAAGGGAGUGCUCCUAACCGCAGCUAUCUAUCUAUCUAUCUAUCUAUCUAUCUAUCUAUCUAUCUAUCUAUCUAUCUAUCUAUCUAUCUAUCUAU